This 263-nucleotide ribosomal RNA is filed under the name uncultured archaeon. RNAcentral describes it as "partial 16S ribosomal RNA". It matches the Rfam family "Archaeal small subunit ribosomal RNA", at positions 719 to 982 of the family's 1478-position model. The record is from RNAcentral.
ACACGACUACAUUAGAUACCCGUGUAGUCCUAGCCGUAAACGAUACUCGCUAGGUGUCGGCCACGGUGCGACCGUUGUCGGUGCCGUAGGGAAGCCGUGAAGCGAGCCACUGGGAAGUACGGCCGCAAGGCUGAAACUUAAGGAAUUGGCGGGGGAGCACAACAACGGGUGGAGCUUGCGGUUUAAUUGGAUUCAACGCCGGAAAUCUUACCGGGACCGACAGCAACAUGAAGGCCAAGCUGAAGACUUUGCCGGAUUAGCUG